RNAcentral lists this ribosomal RNA (424 nucleotides) under uncultured Hymenobacter sp. RNAcentral describes it as "bacterial SSU rRNA". It matches the Rfam family "Bacterial small subunit ribosomal RNA", at positions 354 to 776 of the family's 1533-position model. The record is from RNAcentral. Lineage: Bacteria; Pseudomonadati; Bacteroidota; Cytophagia; Cytophagales; Hymenobacteraceae.
GUAGGGAAUAUUGGGCAAUGGUCGAGAGACUGACCCAGCCAUGCCGCGUGCCGGAUGAAGGCCUUCUGGGUUGUAAACGGCUUUUCUCAGGGAAGAAAAAGACCUUGCGAGGUACACUGACGGUACCUGAGGAAUAAGCACCGGCUAACUCCGUGCCAGCAGCCGCGGUAAUACGGAGGGUGCAAGCGUUGUCCGGAUUUAUUGGGUUUAAAGGGUGCGUAGGUGGCCUGGUAAGUCCGUGGUGAAAGCCUGCUGCUCAACAGCAGAACUGCCAUGGAUACUGCCGGGCUUGAGUCCAGACGAGGUUGGCGGAAUAGAAGGUGUAGCGGUGAAAUGCAUAGAUACCUUCUAGAACCCCGAUUGCGUAGGCAGCUGACUAGGCUGGUACUGACACUGAGGCACGAAAGCGUGGGGAGCGAACAGG